UGGCUCGAAAGAGCUUAAAUAAAGUGUAACAGUGAAUUAAAUAAAACUGAAGAGUUAUUGAUAAUGGUUACUGAGUUGAUAGUUAUUUCAGGAUUGGUUAACACUAAGCUGUUAUAAAAGGUCUACAGCAACACAGUUGCAUAACCUUAGCAGUUAUGUAGCUGCAAAACUUUAAAUUAACUGCAUUUAACUUAGGAUGAAAAUCAG
Long non-coding RNA from Oxyura jamaicensis (ruddy duck), 207 nucleotides. RefSeq lists it as uncharacterized. The transcript is spliced from 4 exons. The record is from RefSeq and is a predicted model, not a curated record. NCBI's taxonomy places the organism in Eukaryota, Metazoa, Chordata, Aves, Anseriformes, Anatidae.